Pelobates cultripes (western spadefoot toad) is the source of this 224-nucleotide non-coding RNA. The record is from the annotation of a GenBank genome assembly. NCBI's taxonomy places the organism in Eukaryota, Metazoa, Chordata, Amphibia, Anura, Pelobatidae.
GGGGAGGGCAGAUAAAUGAGCCACCCUAUGCACCAUUCUCAGGCUGUCUCACAUAGCGGGAGGAGAAUGGUUUCCUGAUCGCGCAUCAGUUAUUACUUUCACGACAGGGCACGGGUACAAUGCACACGUGGCACCGCAGUUACUGUGAGGUCUGACCCUGAGUGGUACGUGGCUAGUAACAGCCACGGCUUCAGAAACUCGCCAUGGAACACUGAAGGAAGCAG